UGAAAAAGGAAAUGAUUCACAUGUAUUUUAACUUCUUUACAAACUUGUUUUUAGCCUGAAUCAUAGGAAGAGUCUGUAGCCUUUUCCCAUGGUUUUUGUUGGCAGCAGCUGUAUGUUCCCAUGGGAACACACAUACUUACCUAUCCAAACCUUCCUCUUUUAUUUAUGCCCUCAGCUUCUGUUCACUUGGAUGUUUUCAUCUUUUCUAUGGAGCAUAUUCACAUAUAAGUUUAGAGCACAGCCCAUUUUUCUUUUGCAACUGAGGAUUCAUUCUGAAUAUUUUCAAAUAUAUAAAACUCCAGGUAAAACUCCAAACCAAAUAUGAUGGGAGGAGGCAUUUGGAUAGACCAUAGAGUGAUAACAUCACUUUGAACACCAUCUGUGGUAAACAUUUUAGCUUUCUUCAGUGACCAGAUAAAGGAAAGAUGGCUCAGAGUGCUUCUUCGGUGGCUAAUUCUGGAAAGCCUUUGCUAAAUUUUAAUCCAAAAUAGGAAGACUCUCCCUCCCUCGUGUUCAAGAAGCUUGCAGUGCUGGGGGUGACAUUGCCCUUUUCAUCUCCUGGAGAGAAGUUCUCCUCUGACCAUAACAGCAAAUCAGCAAACACUUACUGAACUCUUUACUCAUAGAGGACACACUAAUUUCUAUGUUACUUUGUUCCUUGCCAAAUUCCAAUGGCUUGAAAUCCAAAAUAGAUGACGUUAAAUAAGAGCAGUUGUAUGUUUUCAAGAAACUCUUGAGUUUGGUUACUGUAGGUUUUCUAAGAUACUGCUUUCUUUAGUUUAUACCAAAAACAUCUAUUGAGCUAGCUUCUAGACUAAGUGCUGGUGAUUCAGACAUGAAUAAUACUUCCUCUGGAGUGUUUCAGGUAAGACAAAUACAUAAUAAGCUAUAAUAAAAUUUAAUAAGUCCUUCAACAGAAGUGCACAAGUUCUGUGGGAAUGUUGAAGAAAACAAUUCUGUGGUUCCAGGGUGGCCUUCACAGAGCAGAAUGCAUUUGGGCAAGUCUCAAAGGGUGAGCAGGGUCUCCCUAAGUGGAGUAGGAGCACUUAAGGCAGAGAAGAGAAUGAAUAAAAGCACCAGUACAUCAAAGUGCAGUGCUGGCUGUUAUUUCUUUUCAUUCCAGAUGACACAAGUCAGGAAUCCAGGGAGAGACAAGUGUCUGGGAGGCUGCCCUCCUCAAGGAUGGUCUUCCCAGCUCAGUCCUGCUGCAAGCAGAAAUUUCAGGACUGCAGAAUCAGGCUGAUUAAAUCAUAAGGUUCAGGAAGCCAGAAGUCUGAAAUCAAGGUGUCAGCAGGAUUGGUUCCUUCUGAAGACACUGAGGGAGAAUCUGUUCCAUGCCUCUCCCCUAGCUUCGGCUUGUCCUGGCAAGGGCACCUGGAGCCACUCCUAAUAAACUCCUGGAAUAUCUCCUCAAAGUUUGGGAAAAAAUGAUGCCUACAGUAAAUGAGGUGGAGAUGAUGGAAAUUCCUCGUCAGAGGAAGGGAUCAAAGGCUCAGAAAGGCAGGCCUGUUAGAACUGACUUAUUUGUGCAACACCAAAGAAUCACCAGAUGACUAUGUUUCUCAGGAAGCUUGGAUACCGUGGACAUCUGAAGUGACCAAGGACCACCAGGUGGCAGCAGAGUCUCAACUAAACUGUCCACCAACUUGGGCACCAAGUCAGCUCCUCGACCACAGCAGGUGACCUCACAUCCUCCUUUGUCUGGAAGACUGGGACCAUCCAUCCAGUCCUCCUCUGCAGGCCCUCUCCGCUGUAGACAGAGCACAAGACCUACAGAGUCCUCCAUGGUACAUUUCUUGAGCUGAAUGGGAAAGACAUCAGAAAUUUCAUCCUUUUCAAGGCAAAUCAUUCAAUUAGUGAAUACUUAACUGACUUGAGCCAAGACUCCUAACUACUAUGUACUGCCAAGUACAGACAUGUGAUGAUGAAGCACAUUUGUGGCAGAUAAAGAAUAUUUGACAAGAAGAAUCAUUCAUCCAGAAUUUGUCAGACUCCCCCUUCAGCACUAUGGAAAGAGAAUCAAAUCACUGGCCCACAGGCAUAGGCCAGUGUGCUCAGCUGGGUGCUUAGUCAAGAGGUUAUACAACUUUGGCAGGGAUAUCAGAGAUGUGAUUCUAGCUUCUUCUCAUCGCAUCCUAGCAGGAUCUGAGAGCAGCCCCCAGCUGACAGCCACAGGGAAAUGGGGACCUCAGUCCUACAGCUACAAGGAACAGAACUCUGCCAACAACCUGAAUGAGUUGGAAGGAAAAUUCUUCCCCAAAGCCUCCUGAUGAAAUUCCAGCCUGGCCAACACCUUGAUUUCAGUCUUGGGAGACCCUGAGCGCAGAACCCAGUUGGAUCUGACAGAGCUGUGAGAUCGUAAGUGGAUGUUGUUUCAAGCCAUUUGUGAUGAUUUGUUACACAGCAGUAGAAAACUAAUACCAGAGGUAUCUGCCACCUUUCUCUGCCGUAAACUAACUCUUUCCCCUUAGUAACUGUUUUAGACAGCUUGGGCUGCUAUAACAAGUUACCAUGGGCUAGAGGCGGCUUAAACAACAGGAAUGUAUUUCUCAUAGUUCUGGAGGCUGCAAAGUCCAAGAUCAAGGUGCCAGCAGAUCUGGCACUUUCUGAUUUGCAGAUGGCCAUCUUCUCAUUGUAUCUUCAUAUGGCAGAGAGCAGAGAGAGAGAGAAAGAGAGAGAGAGAGAUAGAGAGAGAGGGAGGGAGAUCUCCUGUGUCUUCUUAUAAGGGCACUAAUCCCAUUCAUGAGAGUUCUACCCUCAUGACCUAAUCCCCUCCCAAAAAUCAUACCUCCUAAUACCGUCACAUUAGGAGUUAGAAUUUCAACAUAUGAAUUCCAUAACAAACAUUUAAUCUAUAACAGUAAUUAAUACAAUUUAUGAUUAGUUGUAGAGUCCUUCAUAGAAUCACUUCAGCGUAGGUAGGUAGGUAGGCACCAUGGGUUGUAACAAUUAAGAGACCUGGUUUCAGUUUUGUCAUCUGAAACAUCAGAAUAAAAAUAAAAUAAAAAUAAACAGACAAAAAUUCCUGCUCUCAUAGAGCUUACAUUUUAUUAGGUAGAAACAGAACAAGCAAGCAAGCAAACAACAAAUAAAUAAAAUACAUAAUAUGUUAGGUAAAUAAAUGCUAUGGAAAAAAGGAAAACAGAGAGGAGAAAGAGGGAGCACCAGAGAAGAUGGAUUAAUUUUAAAUAGGGUGGGGAAAGAAGGGCUUCCUGAGAAGAUGAUGAAUGAGCGAAGACCUGAAGACUAUGAGGCAGAGAAUCACUCACACUAUCUGAGGGUAGAUAAAGCAUCCCAGGCAUUGAGAAUAACCAGGGCAAAGGCCCUAGGCCACAAACACAGUGGUAACCUCAAACCACCUAUCGUGCGUAACUUUUAAACAAUGGUCAAAGUCUUCUCCUUGGUCUUUCCAUCUCUCCCUAACUGACGUGGGGCCUGACCAUUUUGAACCAACAAAAGUGGUCAAACGCAGCACUUCCCUGGAGUUGCUGGGAAAACAUUUACCCUACUGACAACAAAUGAGAAAAAAACAAACUGGAUAGAAUUUUAAAUACAAUGUAAUCAAAUUCCACCGUGUAGUACACUCAGGGUGUUUGUUUACUAAAGUUGAAAGACCAACUGAAUGAAAAUAACUU
Long non-coding RNA from Balaenoptera ricei (Rice's whale), 3635 nucleotides. RefSeq lists it as uncharacterized. The record is from RefSeq and is a predicted model, not a curated record. The transcript is spliced from 8 exons. Lineage: Eukaryota; Metazoa; Chordata; Mammalia; Artiodactyla; Balaenopteridae.